This 246-nucleotide ribosomal RNA is filed under the name Triticum aestivum (bread wheat). RNAcentral describes it as "partial small subunit ribosomal RNA". Lineage: Eukaryota; Viridiplantae; Streptophyta; Magnoliopsida; Poales; Poaceae. The record is from RNAcentral.
ACAGGAUCAGAGGGAUCAAAAACUGCUAAUUCGUAUAAAGCCAUUAAGCCAGCCCAACCAGAAACUAGAGCUGUGUGCAUUAUAUGCACCGCAAGCAAUCGACCCGGAUCAUUCAAUACGACAGUAUGUCAAAUUUUCAUUGUAAAUAUGAAUUCCUUUGUUAUAAGAGCAGCUAAACCUUAUUUGGCCACUACAGGAGCAACGGUUUUGCAGUUCUUUUUUCUGCAGUACCUCGACGUGACAUGA